UUAUGGCCAUAUCACGUUUAAACACCGGUUUCCGUACGAUCACCGAAAAUAAGCAACGUUGAGCCUGGGCAGAACCUAGAUGGGUGACCGCAU
Non-coding RNA from Acanthosepion pharaonis, 93 nucleotides. The record is from the annotation of a GenBank genome assembly. Lineage: Eukaryota; Metazoa; Mollusca; Cephalopoda; Sepiida; Sepiidae.